CCUACGGGAGGCAGCAGUGGGGAAUAUUGCGCAAUGGGCGAAAGCCUGACGCAGCGACGCCGCGUGAGGGAUGAAGGUCUUCGGAUCGUAAACCUCUGUCAGCAGGGAAGAACGGUCACUGUGCUAAUCAGCAGUGAAUUGACGGUACCUGCAAAGGAAGCACCGGCUAACUCCGUGCCAGCAGCCGCGGUAAUACGGAGGGUGCGAGCGUUAAUCGGAAUUACUGGGCGUAAAGCGCUCGUAGGCGGUAUGUCAAGUCAAGGGUGAAAGCCCACCGCUCAACGUGGGAACGGCCUUUGAAACUGGCAAACUGGAGUGUGUGAGAGGAUAGUGGAAUUCCAGGUGUAGGGGUGAAAUCCGUAGAUAUCUGGAGGAACAUCAGUGGCGAAGGCGACUAUCUGGCACAUAACUGACGCUGAUGAGCGAAAGCGUGGGUAGCAAACAGGAUUAGAUACCCUUGUAGUC
RNAcentral lists this ribosomal RNA (465 nucleotides) under uncultured bacterium. Its description in RNAcentral is "partial 16S ribosomal RNA". It matches the Rfam family "Bacterial small subunit ribosomal RNA", at positions 338 to 795 of the family's 1533-position model. The record is from RNAcentral.